Molecule: ribosomal RNA, 492 nt
Filed under: uncultured bacterium
Lineage: Bacteria
Description: partial 16S ribosomal RNA
Rfam family: Bacterial small subunit ribosomal RNA
Source: RNAcentral
AGUGAACGCUGGCGGUAGGCCUAACACAUGCAAGUCGAACGGCAGCACAGUAAGAGCUUGCUCUUACGGGUGGCGAGUGGCGGACGGGUGAGGAAUACAUCGGAAUCUACUUUUUCGUGGGGGAUAACGUAGGGAAACUUACGCUAAUACCGCAUACGACCUACGGGUGAAAGCAGGGGACCUUCGGACCUUGCGCGAUUGUAUGAGCCGAUGUCGGAUUAGCUAGUUGGCGGGGUAAAGGCCCACCAAGGCGACGAUCCGUAGCUGGUCUGAGAGGAUGAUCAGCCACACUGGAACUGAGACACGGUCCAGACUCCUACGGGAGGCAGCAGUGGGGAAUAUUGGACAAUGGGCGCAAGCCUGAUCCAGCCAUACCGCGUGGGUGAAGAAGGCCUUCGGGUUGUAAAGCCCUUUUGUUAGGAAAGAAAAGCAGCAGGUUAAUACCCCGCUGUUCUGACGGUACCCAAAGAAUAAGCACCGGCUAACUUCGUG